Molecule: ribosomal RNA, 484 nt
Filed under: uncultured bacterium
Lineage: Bacteria
Description: partial 16S ribosomal RNA
Rfam family: Bacterial small subunit ribosomal RNA
Source: RNAcentral
AUUGAACGCUGGCGGCAGGCCUAACACAUGCAAGUCGAGCGGAUGAAGGGAGCUUGCUCCUGGAUUCAGCGGCGGACGGGUGAGUAAUGCCUAGGAAUCUGCCUGGUAGUGGGGGAUAACGUCCGGAAACGGGCGCUAAUACCGCAUACGUCCUGAGGGAGAAAGUGGGGGAUCUUCGGACCUCACGCUAUCAGAUGUGCCUAGGUCGGAUUAGCUAGUUGGUGGGGUAAAGGCCUACCAAGGCGACGAUCCGUAACUGGUCUGAGAGGAUGAUCAGUCACACUGGAACUGAGACACGGUCCAGACUCCUACGGGAGGCAGCAGUGGGGAAUAUUGGACAAUGGGCGAAAGCCUGAUCCAGCCAUGCCGCGUGUGUGAAGAAGGUCUUCGGAUUGUAAAGCACUUUAAGUUGGGAGGAAGGGCAGUAAGUUAAUACCUUGCUGCUUUGACGUUACCAACAGAAUAAGCACCGGCUAACUUCGUG